GGAGAGACUACAGGAUUCCCCUAGUAACGGCGAGUGAAGCGGGAACAGCUCAAAUUUGAAAUCUCUCAGGGCCACCUGGGCGAAUUGUAGUUUAGAGAAGCGUCUUCGGGGGUGACUUGGGUAUAAGUCCUCUGGAACGGGGCGUCGUAGAGGGUGAGAAUCCCGUUCACGAUCCAAUGCUCACUCCCUUGUGAUACGCUUUCCAAGAGUCAGGUAGUUUGGGAUUGCUGCCUAAAAUGGGUGGUAAAUACCAUCUAAAGCUAAAUACUGGCGAGAGACCGAUAGCGAACAAGUACCGUGAGGGAAAGAUGAAAAGAACUUUGAAAAGAGAGUUAAACAGUACGUGAAAUUGCCAAAAGGGAAACGCUUGGAACCAGUGCUGCGUGCAGACAAUCAGCCGUACGGCCUGCAAGGGUUAUUGCGGUGCACUUGUCUGCGUGCGGGCCAACAUCAGUUUGGCUUCGGGUAAAAAGCUGGAGGAAGGUGACUUGGGCUUCGGCCUGAGUGUUAUAGCCUCCAGUCAUGCCCGGGGCCGGACUGAGGACUGCAGCGCUCUUUGGGUACCUGGUCGCCUCCUGAACUUUGCGUCUAGACAGCACGCUGACUAGGUGUGACGCUAGGGAGCCCGGCCGGCUUGCCACACCAGCGCUUGGGAUGUUGGCGAAAUGGUUCUAAACGACCCGUCUUGAAACACGGACCAAGGAGUCUAACAUAUAUGCGAGUAUUUGGGUGGCAAACCCUUAUGCGCAAUGAAAGUGAACUUAGGUGGGAUCUUCGGUGCACCAUCGACCGGUCUGGAUUUUUUUGAUAGAUCUGAGUAAGAGCAUAUCUGUUGGGACCCGAAAGAUGGUGAACUAUGCCUGAAUAGGGUGAAGCCAGAGGAAACUCUGGUGGAGGCUCGUAGCGAUUCUGACGUGCAAAUCGAUCGUCAAAUUUGGGUAUAGGGGCGAAAGACAAUCAACCUC
This 965-nucleotide ribosomal RNA is filed under the name Triparticalcar sp. PL 162. Its description in RNAcentral is "eukaryotic LSU rRNA". It matches the Rfam family "Eukaryotic large subunit ribosomal RNA", at positions 56 to 944 of the family's 3401-position model. The record is from RNAcentral. Lineage: Eukaryota; Fungi; Chytridiomycota; Chytridiomycetes; Spizellomycetales; Spizellomycetaceae.